CCUACGGGGCGCAGCAGUGGGGAAUAUUGCGCAAUGGGCGAAAGCCUGACGCAGCGACGCCGCGUGAGGGAUGAAGGUCUUCGGAUCGUAAACCUCUGUCAGGAGGGAAGAAGUGGUUAUAUGCGAAUAGUGUAUGACUUUGACGGUACCUCCAAAGGAAGCACCGGCUAACUCCGUGCCAGCAGCCGCGGUAAUACGGAGGGUGCGAGCGUUAAUCGGAGUUACUGGGCGUAAAGGGUGCGCAGGCGGUUGAGUAAGACAGAUGUGAAAUCCCC
This 275-nucleotide ribosomal RNA is filed under the name uncultured bacterium. RNAcentral's name for it is "partial 16S ribosomal RNA". It matches the Rfam family "Bacterial small subunit ribosomal RNA", at positions 338 to 604 of the family's 1533-position model. The record is from RNAcentral.